Molecule: ribosomal RNA, 253 nt
Filed under: uncultured bacterium
Lineage: Bacteria
Description: partial 16S ribosomal RNA
Rfam family: Bacterial small subunit ribosomal RNA
Source: RNAcentral
UACGUAGGGUGCAAGCGUUGUCCGGAAUUAUUGGGCGUAAAGGGCUCGUAGGCGGUCUGUCACGUCGGGAGUGAAAACUCAGGGCUUAACCCUGAGCCUGCUUCCGAUACGGGCAGACUAGAGGUAUGCAGGGGAGAACGGAAUUCCUGGUGUAGCGGUGAAAUGCGCAGAUAUCAGGAGGAACACCUAUGGCGAAGGCAGCUCUCUGGGACGGUACUGACGCUGAGACGCGAAAGCGUGGGGAGCGAACAGG